CCUACGGGAGGCAGCAGUGGGGAAUAUUGCACAAUGGGGGAAACCCUGAUGCAGCGACGCCGCGUGAGUGAAGAAGUAAUUCGUUAUGUAAAGCUCUAUCAGCAGGGAAGAAAAUGACGGUACCUGAGUAAGAAGCCCCGGCUAACUACGUGCCAGCAGCCGCGGUAAUACGUAGGGGGCAAGCGUUAUCCGGAGUUACUGGGGGGAAAGGGAGCGUAGACGGCAGUGCAAGUCUGGAGUGAAAGGCGGGGGCUCAACCCCCGGACUGCUCUGGAAACUGUACGGCUGGAGUGCAGGAGAGGUAAGUGGAAUUCCUGGUGUAGCGGUGAAAUGCGUAGAUAUUAGGAGGAACACCAGUGGCGAAGGCGGCUUACUGGACUGUAACUGACGUUGAGGCUCGAAAGCGUGGGGAGCAAACAGGAUUAGAUACCCUUGUAGUC
RNAcentral lists this ribosomal RNA (440 nucleotides) under uncultured bacterium. Its description in RNAcentral is "partial 16S ribosomal RNA". It matches the Rfam family "Bacterial small subunit ribosomal RNA", at positions 338 to 795 of the family's 1533-position model. The record is from RNAcentral.